CCUACGGGGGGCUGCAGUGAGGAAUAUUGGUCAAUGGACGCAAGUCUGAACCAGCCAUGCCGCGUGCAGGAAGACGGCUCUAUGAGUUGUAAACUGCUUUUGUACGAGGGUAAACGCAGAUACGCGUAUCUGUCUGCAAGUAUCGUACGAAUAAGGAUCGGCUAACUCCGGUCCAGCAGCCGCGGUAAUACGGAGGAUUCAAGCGUUAUCCGGAUUUUUUGGGUUUAAAGGGUGCGUAGGCGGUCGGAUAAGUUAGGGGGUAAAUCCCGAGGCUCAACUUCGGAAUUGCCGCUGAUACUGUUCGGCUAGAGAGUAGUUGCGGUAGGCGGAAUGUAUGGUGUAGCGGUGAAAUGCUUAGAGAUCAUACAGAACACCGAUUGCGAAGGCAGCUUACCAAGCUACGUCUGACGUUGAGGCACGAAAGCGUGGGGAGCAAACAGGAUUAGAUACCCUUGUAGUC
This 460-nucleotide ribosomal RNA is filed under the name uncultured bacterium. RNAcentral describes it as "partial 16S ribosomal RNA". It matches the Rfam family "Bacterial small subunit ribosomal RNA", at positions 338 to 795 of the family's 1533-position model. The record is from RNAcentral.